UCCGAGCUGGGGUGUUCGUAGGAAGGACCAGAGGUUUCAUUCCUGAUUUGAUUAUCUCGGGGACUAGAAUUCGCGUUUCUAGCUGUCAGGCCGGCAUUGCGUUCGGAAGGCAAAAGGUUACCGUUCGGUUCCCACCUGCGAAGGAUAGAGGUAAGAAACAGGUCUGGAAUACGGCAUCUUGGCACUGUU
This 189-nucleotide non-coding RNA is filed under the name Puniceicoccales bacterium. RNAcentral describes it as "6S RNA". It matches the Rfam family "6S / SsrS RNA". Rfam says of the family: E. coli 6S RNA was the first non coding RNA to be sequenced, but its function was unknown until recently. It consists of 184 nucleotides that fold into an extended hairpin structure with a large single-stranded internal bulge. The 6S RNA specifically associates with RNA polymerase holoenzyme containing the sigma70 specificity factor. Lineage: Bacteria; Pseudomonadati; Verrucomicrobiota; Opitutia; Puniceicoccales. The record is from RNAcentral.